AUACGCUGUAGCGGGUAUUUUGAGGUGCUUCGCGAUUGAAUCGAUCUUAAGGGGCUCCCAGACAAAAUCGGCCGUUUUCAUGUGCUAUAAAGUAUACGUUAAAGUUACGUUAAAAAUAUCAAAUAAAUAUAUGUUGUAACUCGGAUUCAGCUUAUUAAUGUGACUGUAAGAUAAUUGUAUAAAAUUCUCUAAAUAAAGAGAAAUAAUUGUUU
This 212-nucleotide unclassified non-coding RNA is filed under the name Melitaea cinxia (Glanville fritillary). RNAcentral describes it as "misc RNA ENSMCXG00005012829.1". Lineage: Eukaryota; Metazoa; Arthropoda; Insecta; Lepidoptera; Nymphalidae. The record is from RNAcentral.